UUUCCGUAGGUGAACCUGCGGGAGGAUCAUUCUUAUAUAACCGAGGUGCGAGGGCUGUUACUGACCCGUAAGGACGUGCACGCCCGAGUGCCCUCACACACACCCAUCUCACCCCUCAGAGCACCCCACCGAUGGUCCCCAUUUCACUCGUUCGAAAGGAUGCUUACAUUUUACCACAAUCUUUGUAUGCCUUGCAACAAGUAUUUUUUGUUUUUGCGCUCCCGCUAACAACACAACUUUCCACAACAGAUCUCUUGGCUCCCGCAUCGACGAAAAAAA
Molecule: unclassified non-coding RNA, 279 nt
Filed under: plant metagenome
Description: partial contains small subunit ribosomal RNA, internal transcribed spacer 1, and 5.8S ribosomal RNA
Source: RNAcentral